Molecule: unclassified non-coding RNA, 335 nt
Filed under: fungal sp.
Lineage: Eukaryota; Fungi
Description: partial internal transcribed spacer region
Rfam family: Eukaryotic small subunit ribosomal RNA (bases 1-46)
Source: RNAcentral
AAGUCGUAACAAGGUUUCCGUAGGUGAACCUGCGGAAGGAUCAUUAACACGUAUCCAACGUUAAACAACCCUGUGAACUUUCAGACGCUCUUGUAGCCCAGGAGGAACAGCAAUCCCGGUAAAUCAAUGGCGGAAAAGUUUUGAUUCGGGACCUCUGUCCAAAAGGUAUCAAGUUACAAUCGAGCUAGGAGCAGUGGCAUGGUUUCCCUAAGCAGUGCAGAAGGAUCCACUGAGUAAGUGUCACAGGGCUUUACGCCCCUUCAUUCACCCCUUUGCCUAAUCAAGCCCGGGCAAAAAAAUCUGAACAACUGUUAACAAUGGAAAUCUUGGUUCUC